AAAUAAAAUAAAAAAGAAGAAGAAGAUAUUAUUCAUAACAGAGCAAGUGUUCAAUAAAGCACAUUAAGGUAGAAAUACACAUUUACCAACCAUUCCAACUUCCCCAAAGAUGUUGCUUCCUCUUUUUUAACUUAGUCAAGUAUUACCAAAACUAAUACAUGUCAAAUGCAUUUCUUCACAUGUCAAAUUAGCACCUGAAUUAAUCAUCAAUUCAACCACUACUGUUUCAUUGAUAAGGGAAACAGGUAAGUCAAAUUGGGUAAACCAAUUACACUACACACCUCUUUCCUCUUUCAAGUGAUGAGCCCUAUAACCCCAAGGAAGAAAUCUACAGAGAUAUAUUAUAUUGUAUUGUAUCUACCACUGUCAAGAGCAGAAACAUACAAAUGGCAAAUGAAUUUUGUGAGGACAAGGAGAGAACAAGUUAAAUAUCAACUGCUCAGUGGUAUAAGGAUGAAGACACCCAAGGAAGAGCCAAAGAGGGCUAAAGAGCCUUCUAGGAACUCCAGAAGGAACUUUGCACGGUAUGCUAAAUGAAAGUGCUGUCCAUACCGCAACAAGGAAUGCCAUAGUCUGCAAUGAAACUUCUGAACCACCCUGUAGAAAAUGGAGCAAAAUUUUUCAGAUCCCAUAAGUAAAGCUAUUAAUUUCAAAUCACAAAAAUGAAGCACAACGUAGCUUGACAUACUAUCAUGAUCUUGCCUUCUGCUCUUCAAGGCAGUGUAAAGGCCAAAGGUGAAUAUUAUACCCAACAAUCCAUUUGUUUAAAGCCACUGAAAUUAAUACAUCUCUACCUUUGGAUCUUCAGCUUUGGGAAUUUUGAACGAACUCACCAUUCCCUGUGAUCCAAACAUCGUUGGGCAUCCCACUAAUCAAGUAGCUAAACUUGAUAAGCUAAAAUUCAUUUGUUGUUUUAUUGGUUUGACUUACUUUAACAGCCUCUUGAAUGAAUUAAACAGCAAUCAACAUGCCAAAAAUUUCGUCUGCAAUCCUAGUAAAUCUAUUGAUAAUAGUGCAAGCAUUGAAUGUUGCAAGGAGCAGUCAAAGGGCUGUCCAGAGGUUCAUUGUACUGAGCAGCAACACAAAACAUUGCAUCCAAGUAAUUUUUGAGUUGCAUCCAAGUAAUUUUUGGGCUCAAUAGAAUCCUUCCAGGGACUACAAGGAAAGAAAAUUCACAUAAAGAUGACAAAUUAUUGUAAUAAUGAUCCAUAAAAGCAUGUGAAAAAGUAAUGUUAUUACUUGCAAUUCAUGAAUUUCUUGCUGAGGAUUGAAGGGUCAUUUGAUUUAGAAGCAAUUUCAUCGAUUUCCAUCCAUGACUUUUGUAUUGUCUCAUAGCAAAUCUCACUAGCUUCCUGCGAAAGGAAUUCAUAAUUAAUCAACCUUUUUUUCACAUCAACAUUUACACCCUUGCAAAAGCUUAAUUAAGGAAAAAAAUGAUAUAUUUACUCUAAAAUCCUUGGUGACAAUAGAAUAGUAACCCUACAUGGUGAUAUCAUCAAAGUAUAGAACGGAUACCGAUGAGGCCAAAGCUCCAAGGGCUACGUGAGGGCAAAGUCAAACCAUAAAGCCAGCACUAGGAACACCAGUGAAAAAAAAAAUUAAAUAAGAUAAAAACCAUAUAUCUAUAUGUAAUGGUUGUGAACAACAAAUAUGCAGAGUAGUGUCCUACUUCCACCAUAUGAUCCUCCAAUGACUAUAACUGGAGAAUUUUCAGCAUGCAAAAUUUUUCUUCACAUGAAUGCUAAUUUCUCCUUAGUCUGCAAUAGCUUGUGCAGAUUUGAAAUACCCACAAAUGCUUUCAUUUUCAAGGCUUCUUCCUUUGAUUAAAAUGGGAUUGAUUUCCCAUAAAUCAAUUCUUUUUAAUAAAUCAGAUAACUUCGUUAAUAAUAACUCAGCAUGGAAUUGCUAACUAACCUGAGGUCAAUAGACAUUUCCAGAUCUGAAACUAAACAUAUCAAUGGAUUAAAGCUGACACCUAAAGCAAGUUUUUAUAGAUUGGCCACAAGGGAUGUAUAUACUCUAUCAUCAGGGGUAAGGCCUGCUUCCUUCAUCUCAUCAUACAAUCUAAAAGCUUCUUCUAAUCUUCCCUCCUUGGACAAGCCAGAUAUUAUUACUGUGUAAGCGACCACAUUGAUAACUAAACCCUUUUGACGCAUUUCAUUAAACAAAUUCAGGGCCUUUUCUAUCUUCCCAAAAAUGCACUCCCCGUGUAUAAGUGAUGUGUAUGUAUAGAUGUCAGCAGUCAUUCCCCUAGUUUCCAUUUCAUCUUUUAGCCUAUAGGCCUCCUUCAACUUCCCUUUCUUGCCGUAACCAUCCAUUAGAGUAUUAUAUGAAACAAUAUUAGGCGUCUCACCCUUUUUUUCCAUCUCCUGAAAAAGCCUUUCUGCUUCCACGAAGUUCCCUUCCUUGCAAUAUAUGUCAAUCAAAGUCGUAAAACUCACAGCAUUAGGAUUCACACCCUUCUCUACCAUUGUAAAUAGACACCUCUUUGCUUCCUCAAGCCUACCCAAUUUACAAAACCCACUGGCAAUGGUGUUAUAAGUGUAGAUAUCAUUCUCAAAUCCUUUCAUCUCCAUUACAUCCUGAACCCGUAAAGCCUCAUCAAUCAUUCCCUUUUUGCUAUAACCAUUUAUAAGUGUGUUAAAUAUCACCUGAUUCACAUCAAGCCCUUGACAUUGCAUUUCAUUCACCAACAUCUCAGCUGCAUCCAUUUUCCCAGACUUGCAAACUCCAUCAAUCAAAGCACCGAAAGUGUGAACAUUUGCAAGAAGGCCUCUCUCAGUCAACUCAUCAAACAACACAAAUGCCCUUUUCAUAUUCCCGAGUUUACAUUGCCAACUAAUCAUCGUGGUAUACACAUGAAUAUCAACUCCUACACCUCUCUCAUGCAUCUCUUCAAACAUUUUCUCAGCCUCAUCAAUCUGGCCAGAACUGCCAUACCAAUCAAUCAAAAGUGUAUAUGUAGCAGCAUUAUACACAAUUUUAUCCAUCUCCAUUAACCUCAACAUCUCAUCAACUUGUUCAACAUUCAUUCUUUUAAUGUAGGAGUUUAGAAGUGUAUUAUAUGUGACAACAUUUGGUUUAAUCCCUUUACCAGACAUUUCAAUCAUCAAAUCCUCAGCCGUCUUAACCAUGCCUUUCUUACACAACCCAUUAACCACAAUUGUCAAAGAAUAAACAGUAAUAUCUACCUUAUACUUGACCAUUUUUUUAAAGAAACCCAAACACAUCAACAUUUUAUCACAUCUCUGCAACGCAAGCAUAUACACUAUACAUGAUCUAAUAUCAAUCUUUAAUUCAUUAUUCACCAUAUAAUCAAAGACCCGUAAACCCUCUUCAAACAUGUUAUUAUCUGCAUAAACUCUAAACAACAUAUCACACAUAAUUUCAACAAAUUCUGGCUCAUGAAAUCCAUUAUCAAUCAAAUAAAACAAGUCUAAGACUGAGCAUAGAAGAUUCUUAUCCAUAAGAAUCCAAGUCAAAACAUUCUUCAUUUCUGCAAAUUUUCUAGCCUGAAAUAAUCUGGCAAUGAGGAUUAUAUGUGCUCGAAGAUCAGGUUUAUGACAAAAGAGGAACUGAUGUCUUCUAAGGAAGUUAAAGAAAGUCAAGCAACGAUUAGGUGGGAGACUUGGGUUCAAGAGAAUAAGGUUGGUUACAUGAGAAUCAAGAUUUGACAGCAGAGAUGGUGUGGUUUCAAGUGCUUUUGGGCCUGCUUUAAUUAAGAUUUUAGCAAUCUUUUCUGCAAUUUCUUGGCUUGAUAUUGAAGUGAGAAUUGUGGGAUUGGAUAUCUUGAAUGCUUGCAAAAGUUUCUGAUUUGCCAUUUGAGGUACAAAGAAGUUCACUAUUGUCACCCUUGAGAAAGAAAAGUCAAGGUAAUUAUAUAGUUUUUGAAGACAGGACUGGUUUCCUCUCUAAAACAAUCUAACUCUCUAGUAAGUUAAUUUUAGAAUUUAAUCACAGACGCACAGUCCAGUGGCCACCGUCAUUUAUAGGUGUAUUCCCCUUUCUCAUUUCCCUGUCAAACAAAGUACAUAGUAGGUCACUCAUUUACAAGUAUACAUAACUGAAAUCAUGAACUUGACAUAUAUAUAAAUAUAUAAAUAUAAAAUGAUAUAAAAGUAACAAGACCUUACCUCCACUAGCCACCAUGUUAGAAAAAUCAGCUGGAGCCACAAUUGAGAACAACAGAAAUUGAUAAUGCAAAUUGUAGUACCAAGAGCGGCGAGCUUGAGGUUGAA
RNAcentral lists this unclassified non-coding RNA (4238 nucleotides) under Hevea brasiliensis (rubber tree). Lineage: Eukaryota; Viridiplantae; Streptophyta; Magnoliopsida; Malpighiales; Euphorbiaceae. The record is from RNAcentral.